AACGAACGCUGGCGGCAGGCCUAACACAUGCAAGUCGAGCGGACAUCUUCGGAUGUUAGCGGCGGACGGGUGAGUAACGCGUGGGAACGUGCCCUUUGCUUCGGAAUAGCCUCGGGAAACUGUGAGUAAUACCGGAUGUACCCUUUGGGGGAAAGAUUUAUCGGCAAAGGAUCGGCCCGCGUUGGAUUAGGUAGUUGGUGGGGUAAUGGCCUACCAAGCCGACGAUCCAUAGCUGGUUUGAGAGGAUGAUCAGCCACACUGGGACUGAGACACGGCCCAGACUCCUACGGGAGGCAGCAGUGGGGAAUCUUAGACAAUGGGGGAAACCCUGAUCGAGCCAUGCCGCGUGAGCGAUGAAGGCCUUAGGGUUGUAAAGCUCUUUCACCGGGGAAGAUAAUGACGGUACCCGGAGAAGAAGCCCCGGCUAACUCCGUG
This 435-nucleotide ribosomal RNA is filed under the name uncultured bacterium. RNAcentral's name for it is "partial 16S ribosomal RNA". It matches the Rfam family "Bacterial small subunit ribosomal RNA", at positions 29 to 507 of the family's 1533-position model. The record is from RNAcentral.